This is a long non-coding RNA of Lagopus leucura (white-tailed ptarmigan), 1498 nucleotides long. RefSeq lists it as uncharacterized. Lineage: Eukaryota; Metazoa; Chordata; Aves; Galliformes; Phasianidae. The record is from RefSeq and is a predicted model, not a curated record. The transcript has 4 exons.
AAGGCUCUUCCUGAGAGGGAGUGUUGUGUAUCAGCAGUUCGAUCACCGGAAUUUGUGGCUCCAUUGUGAAGAUUAUCUAUGCCAUUGGGUAAUUUCACUGCCUUAUCUCGCUCAUUAGGAAAAUCCAUGUGAGGGUACUGAUUGCUCCACUGUCUACAGUAUCUAGGAUCUGAAGUAGAAGUCUACCUAAUUUGAACAUCUAUCUCAUCCCAGGCAAGGGAAUCACAGGAAUCUGAGUUCAUUCACAAAGCCUUCCAGCCAUACUGUGAUUGCUGUCAGUUGAAUGCUUUUAUAGUUAGCAUUUCUCCAGCAGAGCAUUCUCUGGUUCAACAACUGCUGAAGCAAAUGGGAACAUUCACAGUGGCUGCAGUGGGAUCAAGAUCAUGUCCUUGUUGAUCACUGUCUGUAGACCUAAUGGACUCUGCUACCAAACUCUCUCUUGUAAAUGAGCGCCCUUAUGGAUGUGUUGGCCCUUUGGCUCAGGAAUCAAGUGUGUUUGCCUUUAUCACUCUCUUCAGUGAUGUGAAAGCUGGUGAUUAUGUAGCUAGGAGCAUAACUAAAGUUUUUUAAAGCAGUAUUUAAGUCUUGUCCCUUUGGCCCUUACAGUAAAUAAGCAAUGCAAUGACAUAGGACUGUGUGUCUGACAAGGGAGAGAGAGGCAUUUCUUUAUUGUUACCACUGGCAUAGCUGGAGUGAGUUUUCUAAAGGCUUACGUUCACUUUUGACACUAUGUUGGUAUAUAAAAGGGAGAGAGUUUCCAGUGAGUGUCUAGUAUUUAACUCAUUUUCAUCUGAUGUCAAGGUGUGUGUUCACAUUAAGUGCUCAUAAUGUCAGACAAAAGUACUGACCUGUCUGUGCUCUAGGAAGGAGGUAGAAAAGGCACUCUGCGAAGUGUCUGAAUCUGAAAAGAUUUGAAUUGCUUUUCAGAGUCCAUUGUUUCUCUCUCUUUGUCUAAAUAAGGUUUGAAGAAAAACAGUGCUCUUUUUUAACUGUCUAGUAGGUGCCUAAAAGUAGAUGUAGUUCCAGAAGGAAAUCGUGGAAGAACUCAUCAUGACAUUAUGCCUCAGGCAUCACAGAACAUCCUCAUAGGAAAUUUGCCUGAAAAACUUAAUUGCAAUCCAAGCUACUUACAAACUGCCAGCCAUCCAUCUCACUGAAAGUUUAUUAGGAUGAAUUGUUUGUUGCUGCUAUUUUGCAUGCCUUCCACUGGGAAUAACACUGCAUGGGAAAGAUCUUGACCGCAUUAACUUUUUCUCUCAGUGAGCAUUCCUUUCAAGUAUUGAACUUCUGAGAGUAUUGAUUGUCUCUGUCAGAUCACUCCAUGCCUUACUGUUCUUAAAAAUUCUCAAUAAGUUAAAAAGAAGUGAAACUCAAAUUACAGAUCAUUUGUAAGCAUACUGGAAUCUAUAUCCUAUUUUGCAAUGUGGAAUAUAUUGGUUUUGCCUUUGUGAGCUUUGAUUUUUUUCAGCCAUCCAUGAAUCCCUGUGGUUUACUUUCU